AACAAAAACUCCUUACUAUCCAUAGCAAUACAAAGUUUAAGCCCAUAACUAAGACCUUUAAGCUCAACAAUAAUAGUAGAACAAGGAGUUAAGACCCCCAAAAAGGCACACAGCACAUUACCCACAUGGACUGUGAUAAUUCCACCCUAGCCAGUUGAGUGGCUGUUCACAGAACCAUUAAAAUUUAUCUUCACAUAAGGAAAAAAAUGGCUACCUAGCAUAUAUAAUAUAAAAUCUGAUAAUGUUUAGAAGUUUAUUUCAAACCUACAUCAGAUCCAGGUUCCUUUCUUUAUGUUUCAAUUCAGCUCUUAAACUCAUCCCAGGGUCUGACUGAAGCUUCAUUAUGUGAUGUCGUGCAUGGAUUAUGCAAGGAAACAAAUGUAAUUGAGCAUUACAUUAUCUUGCAAAAUUGUGAUAAGUAGGCAGAACUUGAAGGCGAUGACAAACGAGCUUUGGACUCUCUUGAUGGGCGAAUGCAACUAGCUGGCGAGUCUUGAAGUUGCAACUGCUGAAGCAGCGACUAUGAUGGUUAACUUGAGUGAUACAUAUGGGAUCUCAGUCCAGCUGCUACAUGAAGUUUUGCAAGCUCUAUAAAGAUCUAAGCAGGUUAUGCUGAUAUAUCUUAUUUAUGAGAAGCAACAUAAGUUGAGAAUAAAGAUGACAAUGCACGGUCUCAAGGAUGGGCCAUACUGGCUCUUAUCUUGUUCUUUUUUUUUUUCACUGUCAUCAAUUUAUUUGUUAUGUUUUGUGAUAUUUGGCUUUUUUAUUUGUAAGCAUAUCUAAUGAUCAUAAAAUUUAUAUCUGCUGUUACGCAGAAGAUCGACAUCUAUGGUGUAAAAACUGGAAAGAACGGUGAGAUUCGUUGGAGUAUUAUGAAUUUGGUGGUCUUGGUGAAGACAAUACAAUUGGGUGAAGAUAAUGCAAAUGAAGAAUCACAAUGAUAGGGCGCAUUAGGUGGUGGAGCAUGUGGAGUGGACAAAUAGUAAGAGGAAGAACCAGAAAACAUUGCAUUUGAAUUAAAAUAACUGUAUUUUGACUUAAAAUAAGUAUGAGGUUGAAAAUGUGAAGUACAAUGUUUAGUUGUAAGUUUGAAAUUGUUUAUUAUGGAGAACAUUGUGUUUUGGUUUUAAUGGAAUGUGUUUUCUACUUUAA
Long non-coding RNA from Dendrobium catenatum, 1152 nucleotides. RefSeq lists it as uncharacterized. Lineage: Eukaryota; Viridiplantae; Streptophyta; Magnoliopsida; Asparagales; Orchidaceae. The transcript is spliced from 3 exons. The record is from RefSeq and is a predicted model, not a curated record.